Molecule: long non-coding RNA, 1327 nt
Filed under: Homo sapiens (human)
Lineage: Eukaryota; Metazoa; Chordata; Mammalia; Primates; Hominidae
Description: long intergenic non-protein coding RNA 1619
Source: RNAcentral
UUUUGCUUUUCAUCACCUGCAAGAUGUACAUAAAAAUCACAUAAGCUGGAAUUCAACAAAAGACCUCUGACUAUGUGAAGAUACGGUGGGAAGAUGACUGACCGCAAGACAGGAAGAGAGCCCUCACCGAGGAACCAAAUUGGCCAGUAUCUUGAUUUUGGAUUUCUCAACCUCAAGAACCAUGAGAAAUGAAUGUCUGCUGUUCAAGCCACCCAGUCAAUGAAAAAGUUUGGAAACCUUCAUCUAGAAAGUGGUCUAGCAAAGUGUGGUCCAUGGAUGAGUUUGAUCUGCAAACUGCUUGUUAUUGGUUCAUGACAAGGUCUACCAAUUGCAUUUUGAGAGCUCAGAUAAGCAGAGAGCAAUGCAAUUUGUCACAGAAGGAUGAUUAUGUAUAUGCACUGUCAUGUCUAUUUCCAUGCCUAACUCAAAGGAGACACAAGGAGAAAGUGAGCUCAGCCUGGAUAAAUUGGAGAUUGUGAUGACUUCUAGGAAGCCUCAGGAAAGAGAAACAAAGACAACACUGGCCUGCUGCUCUCUGCAAUGGUGGGACCCUUGUGGGAUAACUGUUUUAGGAAUGAAGGUGUCUACCCUCUCUAGAAAUGAAAAUGCAAGUUUGGCUGUGGUUAAGUAUUGGAUGGAGGCAAAAAGAAACUGACAUAUUUUCUUCUUUUCAAUUGUUUGAUUCACCCUGAAGGGCAUGGCUGCUUAAUUUUUUUCUCCAGAGAUAGGUGGACAGAUAAAGACAGGAAAGUAACAUCCACAGACUGCCCUCUGUGAAGGUGACAGUGAUGAAAGGAAUGCUUGAUCUGAACACUGGUAAAUAAAGUGACCGCAUAUUUCCCUAGCCAGGAGAGCAAUCUGGCUCAAAAGAAACGAGAACAAUGACAUUACUGCCAGGCUGCUCCUAAGCCUUUGGCUAUUCUGUUCAGUGCACAAAAAAAAGCAGUGAACAUAGCUGUGACCUGCCUUGUUGGUAGUAUCACAAUUCUUUGGGGCUCCACUUUAAGAAAUUGAGACCUACCUACCUUAAUCCUUGGGGGGUUAAGCUUUCAGACUGGAAUGAUAACUGAACUAUUCAUUUGCAGUAAUUCUGGGUUUUGUGCAUAUUUUAAAAAGGAAUACCGGGCUUGCCUAUAUUCAUUACAACGUCCUCCCAGCUUUCAAAUCUUCCAAUACAAUGCCUCUUCUCUAGUCUUUUAAGCACAUCCUGUGACUGGAUAUGAUUAUGGGAGAUUUACAUGCAUCCUUGUCUAUUGUAUCAAAAGAUCAGGGAAUAAAAUGCCCAUCAUUAAAACCCCAAAGUGAUUGGAUUGGCAUGAGGAAUGGG